This 868-nucleotide ribosomal RNA is filed under the name Contracaecum sp. QZ-2016. RNAcentral describes it as "bacterial SSU rRNA". The stretch from base 1 to 383 matches the Rfam family "Eukaryotic small subunit ribosomal RNA", at positions 1453 to 1831 of the family's 1831-position model. RNAcentral also lists the same sequence under 2 other names. The record is from RNAcentral. Lineage: Eukaryota; Metazoa; Nematoda; Chromadorea; Rhabditida; Anisakidae.
AUAACAGGUCUGUGAUGCCCUUAGAUGUCCAGGGCUGCACGCGCGCUACACUGGAGGAAUCAGCGUGCUGUAACCAUUGCCGAAAGGGAUUGGUAACCCCUUGAAAAUCCUCCGUGAUCGGGAUCGGGAAUUGCAAUUAUUUCCCUUGAACGAGGAAUUCCUAGUAAGUGUGAGUCAUCAGCUCACGUUGAUUACGUCCCUGCCCUUUGUACACACCGCCCGUCGCUGCCCGGGACUGAGCCGUUUCGAGAAAAGCGGGGACUGCUGUUUCGAGACCCUUCGAGGUGGAGAUUCUUUGGUGGAAACCGCCUUAAUCGCAGUGGCUUGAACCGGGCAAAAGUCGUAACAAGGUUUCCGUAGGUGAACCUGCGGAAGGAUCAUUAUCGAGCUAAAUUAAAAAAAGACUCAUAACGUGCAUACAAUCCAUUUGUGCGUAUAUAUGAGCCAUGCGGUCACUUAUACACAUCGUGGUGGCAGUCGUCUGCUGUUUUUGGCGGGCAAUGACUUAUAAGUGCCGUGUGCCUAGGGGGUAUGAUCGGCAUGCUAUGCGCCUUUUGGCGUAUAGCAUGGGCGCAUACACCCGUUAACUGUAAAAACGGUGUCCAAUUUGGCGUCUACGCGUCACCUAGCUACUGCCUGGACCGUCGGUAGCGAUGAAAGGUGGCGAGAAAGUUCCUCUUUUUGAGUUGAGCAGACUUAAUGAGCCACGCUGGGUGGCCGCCAAAAACCCAAAACACUAACGUUAUUUUUACCUAUUGAAAAUGAAGUCGGGGUUAAUUGUCGUUUUCGAUGGUGGACCCCAUCUUCAAGCCUCUUGUAUAAAUCUUGGCGGUGGAUCACUCGGUUCGUGGAUCGAUGAAGAACGCAG